AUGACUGUGUGAGUUUCCGGAUACUUGAGCUGAUCCAAUACUACUCACCAUUUCAUUAUGAGCAUCUUCUUUCGCUGCUUGCAGUGUAUCACACAUUACCGCGCUUCGUACAUUGCGGGAAGCGCUUGUGUGGCACGUAAUCCUGUCUUUGCGGUCAGUCAUCGAAAUCCGACGGCUCCCGAACGUGUUCUUCGCGCUCCAAGUCAUGACAGCAUUCCAGUUCCGUUGUUGAUAGACUGUUCGUUGGAUAAUAGUUGUGUCCAGAAUCACUGACGCACGAAUAAGCCCGGAAACAUAUUUCUACAAAUUGUACUAUCGAUUGACAUCACCAGAACACGGAACACAGGUGGACGUCGUACUAUUCCGAAACUAUGCUGAAACGGCCGAGACGCUGCACGCAUAUGCGCGCGACCAAAAUGCGCUUUGAAAACAUUGCCGACGGUGGUGGUGGUGCUGGUGGUGCUGGUGAAAGGGCUCGCCGGGCAUUGUCGACGAAUCGGAGCGCGCACAGCCUCCCGGCCAAUGGACUUGAGACGAGGUGUCUAGGCGCAGUGGUAUAUAAUUCCACAGCCAGAACGGCGGGUAGCUGAGGAGGACUGACGUUAUUUAGCAAUCGCCGAAAGAAAACAGGCAAAGCUGGCGGUGAGAGAGCUGACGAGGAACCCGAGGAGAGAAAGGGGAGGAGGAUAGGCAAGGGGAUACGGUCUGCGCAUGCGCACUUCACCCAUGCUUUUUCCCGCACUGUGUACGACUCUUGGGGGUCACGUGGUUUGGGAGCUGCCAUGUACUCUGGAUCAUUGCCUCUAUUGCAGGGUCCUGCAGUUGGUGCAAACUCCGAUGGGCGCGCAUUUGUCACACUAGACCUCUACCCGAAAAACGUCAUCGUGACGUUGGUAGACAGACUGUGUUCCACGAACGGGCACUCGUUCGCUGCCUCGUAUUGAAAUAAAUGUAGGACCGAAGGUAGCAUCCCUUUCAGGGACCAUCGUAAUCCCCUAAAGACCGCGGCUUUCGGACGCGACCUUGUUCGCCCCCUAGCUUCGAGCAUAGUUCAACUCUACGAAAUUGGUGGCGCUGUCGAACACUAUAACGUCAUUUGUUUACAAACAGGGAGAGGUCUAUUACACGCGUCUGGGGCCGUUUACAUCCCAUGGCCACGGCUUCCUGCUCGCGUACUUCUUCGUUUUUCCAGCUUCGUCUCUUGCAGCCAAUACGCGUUGGGCCUCUGCUUUUGGCGUUCCGGUGCUGCAUCAGGCGCGCCGAGUCUCCGUAUCUGCGGAUGGCGUACAACUCUCCGUGCCCGCACCAUAGCGUCUGGUAAAUACCUGCGCUCGCGCCUCGCGUUUCUUAUUCUUUUUCAUCUGAUCCCCGAGUUGCCGCGCCGCUGGCGCCGAAUAAAAUGUCAGGAACCACGCAGCGGGCUUGACAAAAGUUCCCUCAUACAGCUAUCACCGUAAAAAGGUGGGGGAGUGCCACACUGUAAGAAAUAGUCGUGAAAAAUACGGGCAUGUCGCCGCGAAAAUAACGGGCGCGAACCCGUUGUUUCAAAUCACACGCGUUUCCUGUUAUUUCGUGGGGACGAGGAGUCUGGGCAUGCGCACUAGAUCUUCAUGGCCUUCUCAGCAACCGGUACUCGUGUGAGGAACGCAAGUGUGCCCCGACUGUCAAACCCGUCAAAGUCAAAGCUGUGUCUGCCCUCGUGGGCUUUCGCAAGAAGAUUUUGAAGGUAUGUGAACUCUUAUUAUGCCCUUUAUGCUGUCAGCUUUUUAGAAUAAAGGGAAACAUGCGCCGCCGUUGUGUUACCAAAUACGUAGUGAAUGGCGCCUUCUUCAACGGAACGUUGUCGCCUUCCGCUGUGUUCUCACUUGUCACACUGUCCAUGUCGUAGCCAUGCAUGUUCUUCAAAUUCCCCUCUCAAACCACUAAAAUGAGCAAUGUGUAACUUUCUGAAACUAGUGGAAGGGUGUGCGUUCACCCGCGUUAACAUUUGAAAUAGACCGGGGUUCACCAACGCCGGUUAACGAGAUUGAACGCUCAACCGAGAUCGAGGAUCCUUUACACCUUUUUAUUAAUAAGGUUAACUCGGGACGCAAGAUUCAUUUUAGAAAUGCUUGAUAGUGCUGUCGAAAGAGAGUUGAGUCGCAAUUCCAAGUCGAGGGACCCUUGAUCUCGUUUAACCGACGUUGAUCGAAUGAGGCCAUGUGUACGCCCGUCGGUCAUAUAAUUUUUAAGUUCUUGCACUAUUUAUGAGGCCAAUAACAUGAAACAAACAUGUGGAUAAAACAGUAGCAGAAAUGUGGUAAAAGUGUUGGCGAGACGUAUAUUUUCCCUUGUCCCGUAUACGCGAGACUAUCUUCGUUGUUAGCACCAAAAGCGUUCGACGACGUCUCCUGAUAUGAACGGGUAUCAAGUUACUGCACCGCACUAAUGGCACACCAGCAAGAAGAGCCCGCUUUGAAUGGGAAGAAUAACGAUUGCGCGUCUCUGAGUUUAACGAAAAUCUGGCGAUGGGUUCGCGAUAAUGAUGUGACACGUUUCAUUAGCUGAGCGGUGUUUGCAUGAUGAAGUGAUAGUGUAGCCGCACAAUACUUUUUUGCUACACAGCUUUUACUCUGAUGCAGACAACACCUGUUCCUUUUCAGGCAUCUUCUUGUACACGCCCUUUUUUAAUACUUUUGUGGCCUUAUCCCUUUCUCUAUUUUAUUACCAAACAGGGUCUGGGCAUCUACAGACAAGAAGCAAGCAGCAAACGAAGACUGGAAUGGAAGCCGCAAACAAGAAAGUUGCUGCAGCCCAUAUAGAGCACCCGUGAUGAAAAUGGCUGCCCAGGACAACAUAUCUUUGUGUUGAAGCCAGUCUGCGCAUAUUUUAAUGAAGACUAUGAGGUCUGCACCUUGUUCCACACUCACAGAGCUGGGCCAACAGCUGUGGAGUGCGCAGCCCCAACACCACGCCUCUGCUAUUGCGUCAUCACUGCUACACUUCUCAGGUAUUGUUCUUCCCUUGGACAACGACAAAAUGCUAACUGCAAGGAGCGUGGAGAAAGCAUUGGCGCUUCAGCCGGGGUGUAUUUCAACUACGAUGUGCAGUACCUGCCACCAACGUUUCAUAUGUUAGAAUUCAUGCAAUGCUAUUUUGGACACAUCAGGCCUGAAAGAGGAACACAGCACCCCCAACAGUAAACAAGAUUAAGUGGCAUGCCGUUUCGCGUUCUAUCACACCUCUGCAAACUGGGGUAAAGUUGAAAGGAGCCAUUGCAAGCUACCGUUCUGCAGAAAGUUACUGCACUGUAUACUUGAGUGAAUAUAUUGUCUUAUGUGUG
Long non-coding RNA from Ornithodoros turicata, 3322 nucleotides. RefSeq lists it as uncharacterized. Lineage: Eukaryota; Metazoa; Arthropoda; Arachnida; Ixodida; Argasidae. The record is from RefSeq and is a predicted model, not a curated record. The transcript has 6 exons.